RNAcentral lists this ribosomal RNA (468 nucleotides) under uncultured bacterium. RNAcentral describes it as "partial 16S ribosomal RNA". It matches the Rfam family "Bacterial small subunit ribosomal RNA", at positions 28 to 507 of the family's 1533-position model. The record is from RNAcentral.
GACGAACGCUGGCGGCGUGCUUAACACAUGCAAGUCGAACGGUGAUGCUCCAGCUUGCUGGAGUGGAUCAGUGGCGAACGGGUGAGUAACACGUGAGCAACCUGCCCCAGACUCUGGAAUAAGCGCUGGAAACGGCGUCUAAUACUGGAUACGAAACUGGCCCGCAUGGGCAUGGUUUGGAAAGUUUUUCGGUUUGGGAUGGGCUCGCGGCCUAUCAGCUUGUUGGUGAGGUAAUGGCUCACCAAGGCGACGACGUGUAGCCGGCCUGAGAGGGCGACCGGCCACACUGGGACUGAGACACGGCCCAGACUCCUACGGGAGGCAGCAGUGGGGAAUAUUGCACAAUGGGCGAAAGCCUGAUGCAGCGACGCCGCGUGAGGGAUGACGGCCUUCGGGUUGUAAACCUCUUUCAGCAGGGAAGAAGCGAAAGUGACGGUACCUGCAGAAGAAGCACCGGCUAACUACGUG